Molecule: long non-coding RNA, 198 nt
Organism: Quercus lobata
Lineage: Eukaryota; Viridiplantae; Streptophyta; Magnoliopsida; Fagales; Fagaceae
Exons: 3
Source: RefSeq, a predicted model, not a curated record
UGUGGAGAAAAAACAGAGUAACCCAGCACAGGUUGUGGAGAAAAAACAGAGUAACCCACAAAAUCGCUACGAAGGAACCCAGCAAAGGUUGUGGAGAAAAAAAACAGAGUAGCCCAGCAAAAUCAUUACGGUCCUUUCAUUUUUGGAUAAAGAGCUGCAUACUUUUUGAGGGAAAGAGCUACAUAGUUAACUGUGUCA